This 387-nucleotide ribosomal RNA is filed under the name uncultured Bacteroidota bacterium. RNAcentral describes it as "bacterial SSU rRNA". It matches the Rfam family "Bacterial small subunit ribosomal RNA", at positions 568 to 957 of the family's 1533-position model. Lineage: Bacteria; Pseudomonadati; Bacteroidota. The record is from RNAcentral.
UCCGUAGGUGGACAGAUAAGUCAGAGGUGAAAUCCUGCAGCUCAACUGUAGAACUGCCUUUGAUACUGUUUGUCUUGAGUUAUUGUGAAGUGGUUAGAAUGUGUAGUGUAGCGGUGAAAUGCAUAGAUAUUACUCAGAAUACCGAUUGCGAAGGCAGAUCACUAACAAUUAACUGACACUGAUGGACGAAAGCGUGGGUAGCGAACAGGAUUAGAUACCCUGGUAGUCCACGCCGUAAACGAUGGUCACUAGCUGUUCGGACUUCGGUCUGAGUGGCUAAGCGAAAGUGAUAAGUGACCCACCUGGGGAGUACGUUCGCAAGAAUGAAACUCAAAGGAAUUGACGGGGGCCCGCACAAGCGGUGGAGCAUGUGGUUUAAUUCGAUGA